AUAUGUACAAAUGCCAGCAAGAGUUCAGCAAGAGCCGCGGGUAUGAGAAUCUGCACGAAGUGGGGAAGUCAAGACAACCGUGGUGCUGGGUGAGUCUGGUGCUCGCAGGAAGCAGAGGGGUUUUCUGGCUAGAACAGAAAGUACCUGAGAGAGGAGGGAGAAGACCAGCCUUGUGGGGGUGACUCGGGGUCAUAACGGAACGUCAACCCCAAUCCUUUAGUUUGUGUUUUACCGCUAGUUGAGUGAGCGCUCUUGACUCUGGAUGGUCUCCACUAACACUACCAACAAGAAUUUUUCCUGAAGCCCUUCUAGGGAAGUGGCUGUUUGAACCCCACCAAGAGGCCCUUUCUCCAACAGUGUGCACACUCCCGGAGCCCCUCCACACAAAUGUUUCAUGUGGUGUAGCCGAGAAUUAAUUAGAAAAAGAAAAAAAAUCUCUCAAGUCAAAACACAUAUCUCACAACCUAUUAGCAUUAAGAUUAGCAUUAAAGAAAGUUGGAAACUAUAACAUUUUAAGCACAAUUUAUAAGUCUAAUUUCCUGUGUGUCACUCUCAGAUAAUAAAUGCUUUUCCUUCAAGUUGAAAAGUCUUGGUGGGGUGGGGGUGGGGGGGGAGAAAAGAAAACGUUAAUUUAAGGCCUAUUAGUUUAUUUUUAGUUGCCCAAGAUCUGAGGGACUGAGAACAUUUCCCUUUUCUGAUAGAACACGCCUUCCUGUGUAGCAAGGAAGUCCUCUGACCUCAGGCCUCCUCAAGGUGCUACUGAUUUUUGACAGAAUUCCUCAGGCAAGGACUUUGAAAAGAGGCUAAGCCGGGCCUGCAAGGGGAGGGCGAUCCGAGGUCCUGAGGGACAAGGUUAAUUGCUUGGAGCAUUGGAGAAUGGCGUGGUGAGGCAAGGGGAUGCCGGGUGACCAGGAGGCCCGCUUCCUGUAUUGCUCUGGAAGAAGUUCGUCGCCCACGGCUUCCAUAAUAAGACAUUCCUGCUAAUUUGCCAGGAGCUGAAAGGGAUUUCUGUUUUUAGCUUUGGGUCUGUGGCAACUGUUUUGUUUUAAACGAAAAUUAAAUGGGGACGUGGAGCUGGAGUUGGGGGAUGGGAGGCAGAGCCAUAAUUGAAGUGCAUUACUGGUAAUUACCUCGUUCUUUCUUUCACUCAUCAUGUUGACAGAGAAAUCUAUUACCCAGCAGCUCCGUUUCCACAAAUUGCCCUUCCCUGAGGACUUGGGGGUGGGGGGGUGGGGAGUGGGCCACGGUGGUGCUGGAGGAAAUCACUGCUUUGUUCGAGAGAGUGGGCCUCCAGCCAUCCCCAGAACAUGGCUCCGCUGUCCCGCACCCAGAGGGAGGGGAAGGGAGUGAGGACCCUGAGAGAGGACGAGGGAGUCACCUGGCGAGAAGGGUCUUGUCCCAACCAGGCCUUACCAUGCAGAUCCAUUUGGCGUGCCGCGUAGAAGGAUGGAGAUAAAGCCUCAUCACUGUCUGAAAAAAAUGAAAGGAAGUUGGAGGCAACCAUUGACGGAAGUAGCAGCCCCGUUUUGAAAGCUCUUGUGUGCCUGCGCAAUGCGGUAGGGCUCUUCACGUGGGAGAUGAGCCCCGGAGGGGCCUGUUCCCGUCGCUGCAACUGCCAGUGGCCCGCCCUUGGGUCCCUCCCUCCAUCUCUCUCAUUUCGCUCUUCUCGUGUCAACUUCCCUGCCCCCUGUCGCUCUCUCCUUCCUUCUUCAGCUCCCGUGUCUUGCCCUCCUCUCUCCUCUCACCUUCGAGCUCCGUGUGGCCUCACCUCCCAGAGGCCGGUCUCCCCUCCGACUCCACUCUGCCAACAGACCAAGUUGGAAGGAUUGGAGAGGGUUUUGACACUGGCGUUCCUCUCCGUCCUUCCAAAUCCUCUCUUAGACUGAGGCCUCCGGCAUGUGUUAGGGCUUUGGAAGCCUACCGGGCAGUAAGAAGAAAAAAUGAGCAGGGGGUGAUCUCAGUAGAGCCCCUGGCUUCAGGCCUCUUCCUCCUUGGUCCUCAGCAUUGGCUCCUUCAACAACAUAUACUGAGCCCCAACUGUCAGUGAGGAUUCAAAGACAGAGCAAGACACUCACCCUGUCCUUAAGAGGUUUAUGUUUGGCAUAGCAGUGAGGUGGGGGUGGGGGAAGGCAUUUCAUUACACUUUGAGCCUAAAGCAAAAUGCCACCAAGGCGAAGGGGCCACGAGACCUGGUGUCUGCUCCAUGUUUCAUUCAGUGCACAAUCCAGCACCCGCAAUGAUUUCGAAGCAACAGAAAUCCUAACUUCAGUGUCUAAAGGGAAUAUCAAAGGAAGAUUGCAUUCAUAACACAGGACAAAGCUUCCGAAAAUCCUUUUUUAAUAAAGCGAUUUCAAUCUCUGCCUAAAACCAGCUUUCCAUUCUCUGUGCUUCCACCAGUAACUCCCUGCCUUGUCCAGUGUAAAUCCUGCUUGCUGCCUCAGUUCUUGCAACUUUUCGGCCUGGUGCCCCUUUGCUUCCUCGCUCCGUGCGCUGCCUAGACAGAGACCGCCUCUUCAGGGUGGUGGGAAAGUCUUGGCUUUGAGGUAUUUUCCUUGCCAGUCUGCAGCUCUUGUGGGCACAUCACCCCGUUCCCCAGCCCAGCUCGUCCUUGAGCUUGAGAGGCACAUUACAGGGGUCCAGCACAAGCCUAGCUGUGACCACGUGACCACGCCUUGUGGGAAGGUAUGACUAAAGACCAUGGGUGCAGGCAGCCCCCUGAGAGCUGCUGGUGGCACCACACUGCUGGCAUACAGACUUGGCAUAAGCCCGGCCUAAGACCUGGCGUACAGUAGGAGCAAAGCAGGAGAAAAUGUCUGCUGAUGGGUCUGACCUGAGAAUUGCCUCCCCCAAAGUGGGAGAAGUAUUAGCGGGAAAGAGCUAUAUGGAUCUAUAUCAGAUCCCGGGUAAAUAACACUGGAGGGGACCCUGCAAUGGGGGGCUAGUCAAAGUCUCAAGAUACCUCCUCUUUAGGUAUCCCAUGGGGCUAUAGCCCUCUCCCCUUUCCUCACGCCCUUCCCAGGGGACCCAGGUAUCCUUGGAGGGGACAGGUCUGGGGGCUUUCAGAUGCCUUUUACAAGGAAAUGACUUCUCCUGACUCCCCUCCUUUCGGGUCUCCUAUAGCCAGUUACUCAGGGAGAGUCAUGAACGGUCCAACCGUCCUCAACUUACUUGGCUAAGAUCCACUUGAGAAGCACGUUGUGCCCUCCAACUGGAAUUGUGUGACUUCCCUGGAGUCACCUUAAAACAGCAAUCCAAGUGGAAGGUGCCACUUGCUGCGUACCUACUGUGCACCAGGCCCCUGCAUGCUGGGCGCUCCUACAUUUUUUUUUCCUAAUCCUCAACAACACUGUGAUGAGUAUUGUUGUCCUUAUUUUAAAGGUAAAGAAACUGAGGCUCAGAGAGCGUAAGCAGAAUUACCCCAAAUCACACAACUUGUUACAUAACCAGAUUUUGAGCUCAGACCUUUUUUAAAAAAAACAUUUAAAAAAUAUUUAUUUAUUUAUUAUUGAAAGAGAGAAUGUGAGCAGGGGAGGGGCAGAGAGGAGAGGACAGAUCUGAAGGGGGCUCUGUGCUGACAGCAGUGAGCCCAACUCGGGCCUUGAACCCACGAACCAUGGGAUCAUGACCUGAGGCCAAGUCAGACGCUCAACCGACAGAGCCACCCAGGUGCCCCAAACUCAGACCUUUCUGACUCCCGAACCUAGGCUGUUUCUACCAGCUCUGCUACUCUCCAAGCUGAAUGGCAGUCAGCUCUUUCAUUGCCCUAAAGAAGAAGGAGGAGGAGGGGCCAAGUGGCCUUUUUGGAAACCUUCUCACGUCAUGGUUAUUCCCUCGUCAUGAAAGCUUCACCUAAGAUCCUUGGAUGAGGAUAUCCGACCCUGAAACAAGAGUGGGUCUGACUGCCAUUUCAGACCCCUGUGCUAGAAGGCUGCCUAUGGCCAUUCACAGGAGGAAAAGGACUCCGCCAGAAUGUUAUUCCAUCUCAGAUUCAUGGUAACCAGCCUCAGGACUGGGGAAGACAGACCGCCCUGCCAAACUCUUACCAGUCACGGAGGCUCCCGGUGGACCCUAAACUAUCAGCUCUAGUUUUUUAUCUUGACAGUUCACUGUGCACAUUUUAAAUGAAUUGAACCUACCUGAGGCCACUGAAUUUAGUUCAACAUUCAUGGACCACCAUUCUUGGCCAGGUACUAGGAGGAGUUAGGUACAGAGAGAGAAACGGGGCAUAGCCCUUGCCCUUGGGGUGAUGGACUGCGCCAGCCAACUUGGAAAGCACUUUUAGAGAAGAACAGGGGUGUGGGGAGCAGGGGAGCCACAGUGGACCCAGUCCAAUGGAGAGGAAGGCAGGGAAGAAAUACUUCUUGGAAAAUAUGUAAAAGACUCCAGUGACGUCUAAAAGGCUCCCAAUCCCAGAAGUAAAGUGUGAGUUCACAGAUAUUAUGGAACUACUCUGUUUGUUAAGAGCCAAAGUCAUAAAGGAAGAAGAGGGGGGUUUUGCUUGCUUUGAUUUUUGUUUGCAAUAUCGAUUGAUUGAUUGAUUGAUUUAGAGACAGAGAGACAGAGCACGAGUAUGAGUUGUGGAGGGGCAGAGAGAGAGGCAGAGAGAGAGAGAAUCCCAAGCAGGCUCUACACUGUCAGCGCAGAGCCCAAUGUGGGGCUGGAACUCACGAACCCUGAGAUCAUGACCUGAGUCAAAAUCAAGAGUCGGACGCUUAACUGACUGAGCCACUCAGGGGCCCCUGUUUGCAUUUUUUUGAAAACCCUGGAAGAUGUCCAUCUAUAGAUGAAUGGAUAAGACGUCGUGAGACACACACACACACACACACACACACACACACACAGAGGACUAUUACUCAGCCAUAAAAAGAGUGAAAUCCUGCCGUUUGCCACAACAUGGGUGGACCUAAAGAGUAUUAUGCUAAGUAAAAUAAGUCAGAGAAAGACAAAUACCAUGCGAUUCCACUCAUUUGUGGAACUCGAGAAACGAAACAAACAGACAAGGAAAAAAGAAACAAAAAACCAGACUCUUAAAUACAGAACAAAGUGGUGGUUGCCAGAGGGGAGAUGGGUGGGGGAUGGGUGAAAUAGAAGAAGGGGACUGAGAGGACACUUACCAUGAUGAGCGCUGAGUAAUGUAUAGAAGUGUUGAAUCAUUAUAUUGUACACCUGAAACUAAUAUCACACUGAAUAUUAAUUGCACUGCAAUAAUAAUAACAAUACAAAAAAACCCCGGGGCAGACCUCCCCGCUUCACUACCCAGGGCUGUACCCACAGGUGUGGAGGCUCCGACAGGCGCAGGCGAUGGGAGCGGUCAGUUUGGUUUUCUUUGGCUGCAUGUGCCAACAUGAGAAUGAAGGAGAAAAGAAAAAGAGCAGAGGACGAAGAGUCUUUUGCUUGAAUUCAGUUAUUUCCCCAAGGCACUGCUCACACAGCACGGGCCUCCAUUUUAGUUAUUUCAUUUUUAAUGUGUUUAUUUAUUUUUGAGAGGGAGAGAAGGGACAGAGCAUUUUGAGAGGGAGAGAGGGAGGGGCAGAGAGAGAGAGGGAGACACAGAAUCCGAAGCAGGCUCCGGGCCCUGAGCUGUCAGCACAGAGCCCGACACGGGGCUCGAACUCACGCACCGAACCGUGAGAUCACGACCUGAGCGGAAGUCAGAGGCUUAACUGACUGAGCCACCCAGGCCCCCUCAAGCCUCCAUUUUAAUUGAUGUCUGGGGUCCUCACUAUGUGCCAGCAACGGCGUCGUAUGCCUUAUGUGUAUCAGCUAAUUGAAAUCUUCAAAACGAGCCUGUAGUAGAUACUAUUAUCCCCUUGUGCGGGGGUAGGGAGUGGGAGGCCGGGCGGAUCAAGAGCGCGGGUCUUUCCCCCUAAGCAACACCAGCUUCCGAACAGGUAGAAUGUUUCGCUAGCCUGCCCUUACGUUGCAUUCUGGUGAUGGCCUCCUGGUUCUGCCAGGUUCCAGAACAGCGUCUUCCUUCUUCCUUCUGUCUGAAUGUGUUUUCCUCUGAGCUGGCCCUCUAAGCGUGCUGUCACUGCAGCCACCUGUGUCUCCUGGCAGAAGCCGGAAAGGCAGAGCUAGAGGAGGGGCUCCCAGGGAAGGGGGCUGGGGAGACCUUGAAGCUUCCCGCUCUCCCUUGGCGUGGAGGUCCCCGAAGGUGUGGUCUGCCCCGGACGCUCUAAGUAGCUGGCCACCAAGCCACCCUUGGGCACAAACGCCAUCCCUGUCGCUGCACACGGAACUGAAUCUCCUAAAAGAACGCAAGCUGUGACGGAACGACAGAGACGGCGCCCUCCGCCGGGACAUCUAACUCGGUUCCGAGUGCGCAUUUGUGCAGAAGUAGAGGCCGCGUUCGUAGACGGUCAUGGGCGGGAGGGACCAGAAAGGGCACCCGGUUCAAUGCCUUAUGGGACUGAGGGGGAAAGGUGGACCCAGACAGGGGAAGGUGCCCAGAUCCCCGGCGUCCUGCCCCCGCGUCCCCUUGCCGGGCUGGAGGACUCCGUUCCCUGAGGACAGGAGUUCUUUCCCUAAGACAGGGACCAGGACUCCGUUCCCCAAGAGAGAGAGAUGGAAAGACUCCCGGGAUGAAGGAGCCUUCCACCCUCUCCGCGUGGGCUUGUUUUUCAGAGAUUCACGGACAUACAUUUCAGUUUUUUCAAAAUGAGUGCUUAAAAUUCAAGCCUCCUUUUGUUCCGCUUGAUCCUGGAAGAAUAAUUUUAGGGAUUUCAAGAUCUCACUUAACAAGCUUUACAUCUUGAUGAAAUGCUGAUUUUCAUAUUGUUUCCCAAACUGCACAGUUGCAGAAGCCACUGCCAAGUGAAAGCAGGAUAUUUCGAAGGAAAGCAUUUAAAAUUUAAAUCCCUGGUGACAAGUCCGAGGGUGGACGGAGCGAGGCGCGCAGCAGUGAGGUUUCGCAGCCCGCGGAGAAAGGCGGCAGAGGCGAGAGACGCUGGGAGGGUGACCGGGGGGCCUAGCUCAGCCCCCGCUGGCUGCGUGACCUCCGAGGACAGGUCAGCCCGCUCGGAGUCCCCAUGUGCGGAAUGGGCUUGCUCGCGCUUGCUUUACGACGCCUGCGAGACAAGAUGUGUGGAAACUGCUCAGUGGAGCUGAGCCGCCAAAUACAAUUCCGUCUGUAGACGAUGGGAGAGUCUGGGCUGGCAGCGACGGUCCGGCUAGUUGCUGUGGCCUCCUGAGGUGCAGGUGACAAGAGACAAGCUGGAGAAAAGCCAUGCCUUCCUCAGACAGCGCCGAGCGUUCUGAGUGUCGACGGCGGCCUUCAGUUCGGGGACGGUGGUAAAGGAGUGGGGGGCUUGGGAGACAUCGUGAUGGAGGAGGAAGAAUUUGACCAGGAGUCAGGAGAGGGGCCUCCAUGACUGGCGGUGUGACCGUGAGCGGGUCAGCAUCCUCUGGGGCCUCGGGCUUCCUGCGCGGACACGGAACUAGUGGGUCAGAAAUCGCAUUCGGCAUCUGGGUCAUCGCCACUCCGGGUGCACCGAAUAAACCUUUUUCGAGUGAAUGAAUUGGUGAUGGCUGUCCUGGGCCCCGUGUGGAGAAGAAUCGGGAGGCCUCUUCUCGGCGCAGCAGGAACAAGCAGGAGCGGCCAAGGGCAAGGUUGGGGUGGCGCAAGGGCUUCACUUAGGGUCAUAGGCCUGACUUUGGACUAGAUGAGCUCUCAGCUCCUGCCUGUGGUGAACAUCAGGCUCUGUGUCCACACAACAUCAGAAUCGCCCGCCGGAGAAGGGCCGCCCCAUACAGCUGCACAGGCUGUGCCCUGCACAAAUCCAGGGGGCACCCUUCCCAUCGCCCACAGGGAGCAUGGAGCCUCCCGGUAUCCAUGGGGCACAGUGGCGCCAGCUGGGAGACGGCAAUGUGCCACCAAAGGAGCACUGGCCUGGGAAUCCGGAGACCUGGCUUCCAGCCCCCCUGGGUCAGGGUCAGCCGCCAACUCCCCGUAGGGCCAUAUUCCGGUCCUUCCCCCUCUGUGUUCAAAUCGCUGGCUCCUUAGGGCUCUCCCUGGUCCAGGUUCUUGGAUGUUACGAGGGUUCUGUUUGCUCUGCUACAUGGCCAGGCCUCCAAUCUGGGCAACUGGAACUUUUUUCUGUGCAGCUGCAAAGCCAGGCUGACCCUUCGGAUCAGGGGGAAUUGUGGGGGGGCGGGCUUCCGGCAGAAGGUAAUGCCCCUGCCAGCUCCGAGACGGUAGGGUGCCACCCCAGGCCCCUUGCCCCCUCUCAGGAGCACACAGGUGGCAGUGACCUUUGGAUACGAGUGUGGGGUUGGUCCCCAGCCUUCUAUCCCUGCUCAAGGGAUGAGGCCAGCCCCUCCUUUGCUCCUGUCCAUCCCCCAAUGUCAUAGCAGUCUGCUGCACAUGCCCCUCUGUGCCCUCCCUCUGAGCCUCUGUGUUGGCCAUUCCUUCUGCCUGGAAUACCUUCCCCUUUCCUCACACCUUAUCCAGCAAAGUCCCACAUGAGCAUGAGCGUCUCAGUGAGGCAUAGCCUGACUCCCUCCCUCCCGGAGGUAACUCCUCUCCCCUCCUCUCCAUCUCUGCCUCUGCCGCAAGCCUUCCCUACAGAGCACUGGACGCUGCAUUGGUGUUGCCUUGUCCCCCCAGUGCCUGCGAGCUCUUUCGGGGGGUGGGCAGACAGCUGCACAAAAUAGGAAGAGACCACUUCUACGAAGCACUGACCACGUGCCUGGCCUGUGACUAAGCACUCCGUGGGUAUCGUUUCGUGGUUGUGACUAAACUGGACUUCAUUUUAGAGAAGAGGGAACUAAGGCCCAAGGUCACGGCAAGUAAGUGGCAGAAUGGGAUUCCAGCUGUUUGUUGCCUUGGAGCCUGGAGGACCAGACUCCUCUCCUCGGCCAUCCCUCACUCCCUCUCCAGGGCGGGGACCGGUCAGGUGGUCCUGGAGGAGAAGCUAGACGGAAACAUGACCCAGUGACAGGAGCAGUUUUCUGAGGUUGCUGUUAUCUGCAUAGAUCCGCUUGUGGUGCACUGAAAUAAAUUCCUUCCAGGGGGAUUUUUCCUUCCUUUCUUCUUCCCUUCCUGUCCCUUCCCUUCGCUUCACUUCCCUUCUUUCUCUCUCUCUCUUCCUUCCUUCCUUCCUUCCUCUCUCUCUCGCUCUCUCUCUUUCUUUCUUCUUUCUUUCUUUUCCUCCCCUCCUCUUUCCUCUUCCUCUCCUCCUCCUCCUCCUCCUCCUCCUCCUUCUUCCUCUUCUUCUUCUGUGUGUGGCAAGUGUUAAAACUAGUUUUCAAGCUCUGUUAAUGAAUGCCAGAGUGAUUAUGUUGAUAUCCCCAUCAGUUAUGCAGAAAAUCAGGUAACCAGACUAUUUACUUUAUGUAAUAGAUGUGUGGGCUUCUCGUUCACUCUCUGAAAGAACAUUCCUGAAAGGGUCAUUUUUUAUUUCCUGAGAUGCCUUUUUUCCUAAUUGCUUGAAGGUUUGAAAAUUGCUCCCUUUCCCCCAUUUUCAUUCUGUGCAAAUGCAUUUCCUCGUGUCACAUUUCCCUGACACCUCCGGUCCCCUGGAGAAGCAGGGCCCCUCCUCCAGCCUCCCACGUGCCUUCUGUCUCACCAGGAAAGCCUCCGCGCGAUUCGAGAUUUCAAACCAACUUGGAAGAAAUAAAGCUCCUUUGGUUUUCUCUUUUGUAAACAGAUUUGACAAAACGAAGUGGGAAGAGCCCCAGACCGCAUAUGAGGAGAGCUGGCUUUUAAUCUCAGCCCUGCCUUGAAUUUGCUCAGUGAUGGCCAGGUCCCUUUUCCCUUCUGUUUCUUUGAGUGUACAUCGAGGGACGAAGACAAUCUGUGGGUCUAAGAGGAGGAACAAGGGCCUGAGAAUGGAAGGUCCCGGAGCCAGAUUUUACUGGAUUUUGAGGAAAUCUCUCUCUCCGAACUCCCCACCCGCCCAGUCUGCCUAGUGGGAUAAUCCCAGCUGUGACCGGGCCACCCUCACGGGAAACUCUGCGACCAGGGAGCCAAAUUGUGGAAGGGUUGGCCCAGGCAGCUCCGGGUCCUUGGCUGGAGGUGGUCGGAGGGCUUGUCUACCCUACAAAGCAGCAGUACCCUUUGCUGGGUGCCCCUGCCUUGCAAACCACGUGCUCACGUGCCUGUCCACAGGUGCUCCUCUUAGGUCCUCCCCCACCCCUCGCGAUAAAUUUUACGGAUCUGAGCUGAGCGCACCCUCCUUUUUCUUAAUUUUUAAGUUUUUCUUUUUUGAGAGAGAGACACAUGUACAGAGAGAGAGAGAGAGAGAGAGAGAGAUACGUGAGGGAGGGGCAGAGGAAGGGACAGAAGCGCAAGCAAACUCCACACUCAGUGCAGAGCCCAACGCGGGGCUCCAUCCCAUGAACCGUGAGAUCACGACCUGAGCCGAAACCGAGAGUCGGUCGCUUCACGGACUGAGCCCCCCAGGCGGCCCUGCGCGCACCCUCCCUGACCCAUUUGGGUCUUGGAUUUCAUCCGACCAUGCUGCAAAACAGAAAGAGCCCACAGGUUUUCCUAAAAGUGACCCCGUCUUCACGGUGGCUGCAAAGGGGGCAGGCCAGCCGAACGGAGAUUCUCCGGACUCGUGCCUCUGUCUGUCCUUUUUGAACACCGUGUAUUUCCAUCCUAAGAAGAGCCAGUCUUCGGAUGCGCCUGGAUGGGCGCAACUGAGCACAUAUUAAACACACGAGCCAGAGCUUUCAGUCACCCCCUGAGCUGGCUCAGCUGGUCUGCCCUUGAAGUGCCCGUUCCUUCCCCUCCCGGGGAAGCUCCCCAGCACUGACUGUCCCCAGGCCCAGCCUCCCGCCAGCCAGCAUGCAUACACGGAACGCGUCACGAGUGGGAAACAAACUUCUGCCGUGUGAAGCCGCUGACAUUUUAGGGUUCGUUGUUAUAGCAGCCAGCACUAGCCUAGCUGAUUUGCUCGGUUGGCCUCUGACCACUCCCUUACGUAACUGCCCACGUGUCUUUCUCACCAGACUGGGAGCUCGGUGAGAAGGGGCCCAGUCUGAUUUGCCUGUACGUGUGGAGGGUGAUGCUCGUGUCUGCAACACGUGUUAAUUGAACGAGUGGAAGUUGAAACGUGCCGGCUGUCGAAAAUUGUAACCAGAAAGAGAAGCUGGACGUGUUGUUUGACAUCUUUCCCGGGAAAACGGGACCAGAAAUCCUAGGAGGCUUCCUGGAAGAGGUAACUAGACCAAUGGCAAGGGAAGGACAAGUCCUUUGGCAGGGACCACGGCAGACAUGUGGGGAGCUGAAACUGAAGGCAAACUGGCCUGUAUGGGGGAGGGAUAGGGUCUUUGGGAGUGAGAGAUGAAGCACCGUAAAAAUGACUGGGAGAAAAAGGAAGGAAUGGAGGGGAGCCUUAACUCUGGGCAUGCCCUCUGCACAAGUGCUCUCCCACCCCUUACCCUUUCUCCGCCCCAGGAGGACCUCUCCGAGCUUUUACAAAGGAGCCUCGGAGGCUGAAAUAUUUGCCCGAAGCCAUGCCAUGGGGAGACCUGGUCUGUUCCCACCCCAAGGCCCUGCUCUUCCCUUCAUCACACCCGCAAGACGGGACUGCUCUACAGCAGAGAGAGGGGGCCACCUCCCACCCGGCCCCAGCCUCUCCUCCUCCCAGGUGAGUGGACUGGCAUGACUAGAGGAGCACUCAGAAUCAGGACACCUGCGCCUAGGCCCAUCCCUGCCUGCGACUGGUCACCUGACCGUGAAACGGUCCCUUCUGUGAGGUUCAACUUGCCCCUCUGAAAAACGACAGAUUGGGGCCAGAGGACCUCUGAAGGCUUCUCGCCGCACAGGAUCCCCGGCCCUGGGCAGGAGCGUGUGAGCCACACUCUCACGUACGAAGGAGAGAGGCCUUUGCCAGUCCCUUACCAGGGAGGGCUGGGAAGCAGGAAGACCGUGGUGUGGGGACAGAGUCAGAGCAGUACAGCAGGAGGAGAGAUGGGCCCUGACGGCAGCUAUGUGUGGCCCUGGGAAGUGGAAAAACCCAUCUGGGGAAAGAAGGUGCGGGCUUGGGGUCAGCAGCCCCAACUGUGCCUGCCGAAGAGCCCGGGCUCAAGCCCUCAGUGAAAAAGAGGGAGAGCUCUGCUUCUGUGAGGUCUUUUAGUUGCAGGAGAUGCACACAUAAACGUCUCUCUCUCGGAGCCAAGUGCAUACCGUGAAUGCUUUUGACAGAAUGGUUCUCCUUCAGCAUUCCUAGUGAUUGAGAUAAGUACAUUUAUUUCCCUCCCCAUCACCAUCUUCGCUGCUAGAGUGGAUGCCUUUUGGUAAUUUACUUUUUCGUCGAGUCUUUCAUUCGGUGGAUCUUUAUUGAGCACCUGGCAUCUUCCAAGUUCUGGGCUCGGUGGCAGAAAUACAGUGGCAGGAAAGUCAGUCUUCGUGGAGUUGGCAUAGCGGGCUGACCAGGCAGUGAUAGUGGUUAAAUAUACAAGACUCUGUAAGCCAGGAUUUCCCUAGAAGGCAUGAAACCAGAGAGAUACUGAGACAAUGGCCAGAUAGAGGGCCUUACUUGAGGUAGAAUGCCCAGGGAAGGCCUCUCUGGAAAGGGCCGGCCGAGCUAGGAUGUGGCUGGUGAGAAGGAAGCAGCCGCACAAGGAGCUGGGAGGAGGGGCCUUUGUAAAAAGACCCAAGAGACCCCGGGGAAGACCGAUGCUGUCUGGCACCCAAGGCCACUGAGCUUUUGCUACUUACUGCCUGGGGCAGAGGCAUUCUGGGGACAAGACCCCCAAGGAAAGGCCACGACCAGGCAAACUCUCUGGGCCACAGGAAAUCACAACCUCUGAUUCCGGCGUCUGUCCUCAUCAGUCCUGAUGUUUGACAACUAUUUCCUUCCCACCCCUGGCCCAGCCUCCAAGUGCAGAAACCCCGGAGCACGCCAAUGAAAUUGAUUUAGUGCUGGCGGUACAUUCUCUUCCCCAGCCUCGGGCAGGAGAGAUUUACGGCUCCUGGAAAUACUGCCCCUCCCUGCUUCCUGUAAAUCUCCCACCACAUUUCGGGCGGCUGGAGCUAUUUGGGUAACCUUUAUCUGAACCAGAACUUCCUCGCCAGGAACUUCAGAGGGUACCUCCAGGAAGGACGGGAGAACCCCAGGGGCUGGCUUGUUUUGGGGAGGAUUCCAGGCCUGCUGAGGACAGCUGCUCGGCAGGCAUCAGGCAGAGAACAGAGUUCUUCUUUGAUGCCGUGACUGCCUUUGUGGGGUUGGCACAAAACCCCAAAGGAGCAUUUAGGGUUUAUGGAGGGCGUGCGGAUAGGCAGUGCGUUAUUGAGCCUGAAAGCCGGGCCCCUGGAAAUAAAAAGGAUUCGGGGAAUCGUCUGAGGCCAGAUGCUCGGGGCUGCGAGGGAGCUGUGCAUUGUGGGAGAAAGACAACGGCUUUGAGUCAGACGGGUCUUGCAGAUGUUAUAUUAUAUUAUAUAUCAACGUGUUCACGGGCUGUCUGCCUGCCUGGAAUCUCGUCUCUGUGAGGCCAGGUCUUUGAUCAUUCCCAGAUAUAUCCACAGCACCUAGAACCACGCUUGGCUUGUCAUUAGCACUCAGUAAGUAACUGGUGAGUGCAUCGGUAAUUCCAGAAUAUAUUCUGGCCCCCCAGUGUGUGACCUUGGGCAAGUCACUGCCUCUCGGAGCCUCAGUUUUUUUUCUCUAAACAUUGGGAUAAGGACGGAUCGAUCAAAAUGUGAAAGGAGCUGCUAUUUGCUUAGACACGUUCAGUAAAUGUUCUCUCCCUUCUCUUUCCUCUGCUGCCUCUCUCUGAGGCCUGGGACUGAAGACAAAAAAAAAAGCCUGGCUGCUGUGCUCUCAAAGCGGUAGGCGCUGAGCCUCCCGGGGUGGGCACCUCCCAGGUCACAGGGAGACCUCACACUGGUCAGGUCACUUAAAACGUAUGUUUCUUUGGGAUUCUGGGACCGAGAGAUUUUUAAAGUCGCCUGGUGCACAGAGGCGCUGCGGAAGGGCUUAGUGGGGGGUUCGGGGACCUUCGCAGCCCUGCAGGAGGCUGAGGGAACGGACAGCCCGCCGCGGUGGCCGCGAACUGCGGGUAAGGGCACAGCACUCUGAGUUCCAGGACAGAGUCCCCCUGAGCAGCUGCCAGGCGGGAAGCCUUCUGGGACCAGCUCUUCCUUUGAUCAAAGGGAGCGGGACGCGUGCCCCCGGAGCACCCACGUCCCCUGUCUGAGAGUGCGGUCCCUUCUCCAAGUGCUGCCGCCCCAGACCUCAGAGGCCAGGUCUGCACCUUCCUCCUCUUCUUUCCUAGGCUCCUUUCACAGAGCCAGGUGACACAGGAGGGGCGUAAGAGCGGUCCCACCUCCCCCGGGGCCUGUGGUGACAUUUAUCCCGAACAGGCUAGCCAGUGGCUGCUGUCUUUGCCCAGAAGGAGUAAAAGGAGCAACACUGAAAUUGCUUCAGUAAACAGCCCAGUCAGAGCAAACCCCGGGCCUCAUUAACCACAAUUAGGAUUUCUGCUCUGACUUCCAAGGAACUCAGCUUGGGACCCAAGACUGUUUAUUUGAAUAAGACCGUGGCCGGGGCUGUGGGAGGGGAGGGACAGAGGUGGAGGUGGAGGUCAGGCGGCAGGCGUUGGAUCUUUCUGUCAUUCUGGACACUUUAAUAAUGGGAAAACCUUUGACCUGAGCCCUCCCAGAUCCCUGGAUUCCAGAACCCAAAUGACUACAGGGACGGCAGUUUUGAAUCUCCCUCGAAUUCUUAAUUGAAUGGGAUAAGGUACCCAAAAGUGCCCUGGGCCUAGCAAGGACUCAAGAGACGCUUGUUACCUCUUCGCAGUUUGGUCACGUCUAAAGCACAAAAAGGAAAGCUCAUUUUUCACUAAAACGCUUUGUUCGGGUCACGGUAUCUUUCACUUGGCCAUUUUUUUUGUUUUCCCCUGUAUGAAAAGCAAACAAGCAAAUGAACUACCAGAUCUCUGAUAGUACGGCUUAUCUUUUAGGUUCUGAAUACUGCAUUUCUUCUAGCAUUCCUCUCCCCCGCCCCCUGAGAUUCUGUUCAACCUAAUUUGUCCCUCGGAUCCUGGGAGCCCCGUCCACUUCCGUUAUCCCGCACGGCGGUGACAGAGCUAACGUUUUUCUUAGGGCUUUGCCGUUCGCAAGGUCUUUCUUUUCCUCCGCAUAGCUUUUCUUGUCGGAGCCUCCCAAGAGUCAUUUCACGUUAGUGUUAUUAGUGUUUUCACUUUAGAGCAGAGCAAAGAGAGGUUCCGAGAGGCUAGGGGGUCCUGCCCGCUGUCUUCAGGCCAGUAAGGAGCUCCCUGACCGCGAAGCCAUUCAGCUAACAACCACUUACGGAGCACCUGCACAGUGUGGGCACUUGAGAUACAAAAUGAAUGACAUGGUCCCCGCUCUCCACGUGCUCGUCCUCUGGUGGUUUAUUCGGCUGAAUUUCCGUGGAUCUCUUCCAGCAGCUUGCACCGGACUGGACGGGGUCCAGUUGCUGGUGUUGGCUGGUUGGCUCGGCGAAUGAGCGAACGUGGGACGUUUCAGGCUCCGCCAGCUCCCACUGGGCCGGGGCUGGGGCUGGAAGCCUGUGUGCUGGGGGCACGGCACUCACACUCUUAGGACCAGGGAUCAGAGCACGGCUGGCUCCACGUGCCCCCCUGGUGAACCACAGAGUCGGACGUGCCUAAAGAGGGUAGGAGCCAGACCCGCAGACCAGAGAAGACCUCUGCCUUCAACCUGACCCAAGGGUCCUCGGGCCAGGCCACCCAAGGUUCCGAAUGGGCUAACAAUACUAAUGGACAACCGCCCUGGGUCUGAGCAGAGUCCACGGACACAUUCAUCCAAUUCUAAGUGAAAAGCAGGCUUUAUUCCCUGAAACUUGAAUGAUUACCUGCCAGCCUAUAUGUUUUUGUAGAGAUCUAGAAAAUAUAGCUGGAAGGUUGAUUAGAAGUCAGCAGCAAACUUUCUUUUGUUGGGUGAGAAAGCAGGCCAAAAGAGAGUUUGUCUAAGCUCAUUUGGCAUAUUCUAGGACAUAUUGUAAGAUGGGGCUGGAGACCGGAAUUGGAUAGGGAAAGAGUCUCAGCUCUCCGUUGACUUCCUGUGUGACCUUGAGUGCACCCUCUAUCUCUGGGCCUUAGUUUUCCAUCUGUAAGAUGGGAGGUGGUCACUGUAAUCCUUCUAGCCCUAAAAGGUAAGUGAAUCUAGAUUUUAUACUCCAUGUGCAAAGAUUAGGCUGUAUGGAAUAUUAGGUACCAAUGUAAUGAGCUACGAUAAUCACCAGGCGGAUACGUUACCUUUUCUCUGAUUAGGUGAUCUGGAAAGGGGAAAGGACCUCCUUGUAAUGGUGAGUUGAAUUCAUGCAGGCUUUUAAAGAAGUUUAAAGAAAGGCCUUUUAAAGGAGUUGAAAGAAAGGCCUUGUGACAUAGAUCAGUACCUGGUCAAUGCCAGGCUCUCAAACAUUUGUCGAAUGAAUGAAAGGGAGUUCCAGGUGUGGGUUCUGAGGAGGCCUGUCUACAGAUGGACGUCAACUGGUCAAACAUAUGUAGGUCGCUGGGAGCUGGUGAGUGCAGAGAUGAGGGAUGGAUAGGUAAAUGGGCACAACAUACACCCGAGACCCCGACCUAAGAGGCUCCGUUGGUGAUGUUCUCUCUGAGGAGUACCUGGGGUCCGUGCUCAGAGCAGCCCAAGGUAGCAAGCCAAGCCCUAUUGCCACCCAAAGGGCCCCCUUUGUGUUCACCUGCUUCAGACCAGGGGCCUCUCCUUGGCCGCUGUGGUCCCUUGUCCUCUGAGAGCUCUCCGGGGACAUGCCAUGGGGAAACCCCAGUGGAGCGUGAAGGUUGAGAGCAAAGGCCCGUGGGAGGAAAGCACAGACUUGACCAGUCCAAAUCCUCAGCCCUCAGAGCACACGCUCAUCCCUCCCCACUUAACUUCUUGGGGCUCCCAUGGAAACUUUUCCUUCCCUCUGCUAUAUUCUCACCUGCUUCUCAUGCAAGUGUGUGGUUGGCGGUUUCCCUUGCUGAACUGGGAGGCUGUGUGUCGUCUCCAUCCCAGCGCCUUCCCUGACUCAGGGCCAGGCUGGGUUCAUGGUCAUGCAAGGAGUGGCCGAAUGAAUAAAUGGCUGAUUCUACCACCCACAGUGGGUGGAUCCCCAAACGGCAAAGGACACUGAGUAAACAAGUGUGGCCCUCCAUUGUGGUUGAUAACGUUUUUCCAAAUGGGAAUAACAGUGUGUAUCUUACAUCAUGGUACGGAAAAAGGUUUUAGACUUGAACAGGAAUACUUUCUUUAGCAAAAAAACCUUCGUCUUUGCAUGACCCUUUCCAGUUUUUAAGGUUUUAUCUUGAUUCUCUCAUUUUGUCUCAGAGCAUCUUUGGUAGGAAGCUGGGAUGAGGAUCAUCAUCUCCCAUCUGGGGAAGGCACCGAGGCUCACGGAAGUCAAGUGACUCAUCCAGGAUCACGUUGAGGGUCAGGGACAGCCCCGGGGUCAGACCCAGCUUUCCUGGUUCCCCGUCCUGGGCUCUCCCCAAGUCAUGGUCUUCUAUUUCUACAUUCCCCCCGUGGCCAUGUGUAAAAGAAGCUAGGAGGCAAAGAAAGGUUUGCUCAAAGAACGCUUAAAAAGAAUGAUGUUCUUAAUUAAUAACAAAAGCAAACGCACACUCUUAGUGGGUUCAUAAACAGCAAGCUUCAACCUAAUUGAUUAAAAUGCCCUGGCACCAAAUUAACAAUGACUUCAAAAACAAUGAAAUCCAGCCAAGGCCACAAUAAAACCGUUUCCCCCCUUUUUAAUUAUCUUUGUUGUUUUCAAAUUUGCCUGAAACUCUUCCGUAUGUCUGGGCAGGUCGCACCUGCCACUGUGACCAGAGCGGGAAGGCAGUGCGUGCGUGCGUGUGUGUGUGUGUGUGUGUAUGUGUGUAUGUGUGUGUGGAAGCCCACAGACAGGGGGUUUACUCUGAAAGUUGCCAGCUCUGUGACCUGGAGCAGGUCACCAAAUGACGGUAGCCCUCAGCAUCUCCGCCUUUAAAAUGUGGAGGGCAACACCUGUCGUAUAGACUCAACGCGGAAGAUAUAGGUAAAACAGCCAGCAGAGGGUCUGGCACAUGGUAGGUGAACGAUAAAUGGACAUUCGCUUCCUCUUUCUGCAUACGGUCCUUAAAGGACCUCAGAGACACUUUAAACACAGGAAAGAGAGGUCGCACUGCCCAGGGGUGGAAACCUAAUGGCCAAACUCCGAUGCCCCACGUUACCUGCUUCCUGCAGGACUUUUGCGAUCAGAUCCUCUGUAUGUGAUGUGACAUGAGGCAUGUCACGUAACCUCUCCGAGCCUCAGUUUCCUGAUCUGCUAAACGGCCAUCCCAAUACCGACAUCGGUGGCCAGGCUCCGUGAAUGGUAGCUGUCGCUAUCACGUGGACUACAAGGGGGGCUUGGAAGAAGGUGUCAGACAGCCAGAUUCAAGUCCUAAUUCUGCCACGUACAGGCAUGCUGUGUCUGCUCCGGGGCCGUUUUCCUCGUCUCUGGAAGACAGAGAAUGAAUCCUGGCUCGCCCACCUGCAGGACAGCUUCGGGGACCCAGGAGCCCAGGGAUGGCGUCCACCUUGGCUGCACAUCACGGCCACCCAAGGAGCUCGACAACUACUCAGUGCCGGGGAUCCACCUGCCUCCGAUUGGCUCGGUCAGGAUUUGGGUGGCUGGGACCCAGGCGGAUGUGUUUCUUACACAUUUCGGGUGGGUUUAACGUGCUCCCAGGUUGUGAGUCACCGGGAUGAAGAUGUACCCCUGUUUUCUAAAUCGGAGAACCCUGUGCACACGCGGGGGUCCGGCAGGAGGGCCCCCCUCCUGGUCCUGCUCUUGCGGGGCAGAGAAUUCUUGGGGCCACCAUUCGUUCCUCUGCCGCGGGGUCGGGAGGCUUCAGCUUCUCUGAUUCCCUUUCAACACUUCCCAGGAUUCUGUCGCAUCUGAAGAGGGAAGCAGGGUGCUGGCAGUAACCGGGGCAUGCUGACUCUAACCUUUAAAAAAACAAGCUUUAUGGUGAAGACCAAAAGGUCUUAUAAACCUUAAUGAGCGGCAUAUGUGAAACACAUACGUGAAUUGCUUGUUUGAAAAAUAUUUCCCGGCUAGCCUUCAAUAGCAUAGCCUUAUUAUUCUAAACGGGGAGCUUGUCUUACCAGAGGACCGAACAAAACCCCAGUUGGAGAUAAUUAUCUUAGCAGAAUUCCCCGUGGGUCCCUGGGGAGGGGAUGGGGCGGGAGCCUCUGGAACACAUGUGCUAACUUAGGCCGCCUUUGUCUACACAACAAACACAAAAGCUGGGCUCUCGGCAGCGAGAAUUCCAGCUCCCGAAACGGUGACCUCAAGACUCAUUCCGCGGAUGGCGAAUAGGUUUGUUUCCACGGGUGGGGGCUGGAGGCGGGAAGGUGGGGGUGGAACACACGUGCGUGUCCAAACUCAUGUUCUAGGCAGGAGCUGGGAGGUGCGGGGAAGGACAUAAGGGAGCCAGAAGUCAAAAGACCCAGGCCGUGCCGGCUAAUUCGGGCUCGGGGACGUGACUUUGAGCAGAUGGCCCACGCUGUGUAGGUCUCAGUCUCUCCGUGUGUGAAAUGGGGUCCCUGUGAUGAUUCCGCGGGAUGACAAAAGUGAGGAGAAAUGAUUUGAUCCAGAGUCCCGUGAAGGAAAGCGACCUCUCCCUCUCCUUCAGUCCCUCCCGGAGGCCGCAACCUCACGCGCAACCUGCCUUCACUGCGGAAAAGCAGAGGCUGGAGACGCUGCCCGAAGCAAGGAUUUCUGGUUCCCAGAGCUCCCUGUUUCGGGAGGCUAUUCAGGUGCCAUCACCUGAAGGUUCGGGCGGUCAGCCUUCCCAGCCUGGCACCCCGAUGUUCAGGGAAAGUGGGCCACUGGGCCUCAAUUAGCUGGGUAAUUGCUUCAAUUCCCCACUGCUCCCUACCCCUUAAUUAUCUCCCUGCUGCCCCCCAGUCCUGAGCUGACGAGUGCCACUGAGCCGCCCUUUUCCCAGGCUGGAAGCCACAAGGGGAAGCCACUUCCCUGGGACUUGUCCCACAACUGCAGGCAGCCUGAGGAGAGGCAGGCAAGCCCCAUCAGGCCCAAAGCCCUCUUUGAUCCCUGUCUUCCCACUCCAGACCUCCUCCAGAGGCUCGGGAUAAACCUGGCUGUGCGGGUAUAAGUGGGGCAAGGGGCAGAGCUGGAAGGCUGGGUCGUGGAAUGGACCGACCAAGACAUUCAGAGGAGUAACCCUGGGCAAAGGACUUGAGUUUCCCCAGCCUCCGUUUUCUCAUCUGUAAAAUGGGGCUAAGAAGGUCUCUUCAGGAAGAUGGUGGUUGUCAGGGUCGAGUAAUUACUCAGCGCGCAUGCAUAGUUAACUGCAGGGGUGCUCUCUUAAACAGCCCCCUUCUCCUUCUCCUUCUUGACUCCUUCCACCAACGAUAACUCUUCAGGCCAGCGAGGCAGCUGAGUGAUGUGGGAAGUGGUGCAGAGCAGGGGCCGUGGGCAGCAAAGCCCCGGGCGCGCUUUACGCCUCAGUUUCCCCACGUACAGCGUUACUCCCUGAGGGCGCGUGCGCCUUCUGAUGUUCUAUGAGGAGCGAGGAGAGAACCUCCUCCAAACCCCGAGAUUCCACCUCCCAGGCAUCGCCCCGUGUUCGGCUCCUCUCCUUGCCUCGAACGCACGCACCCUGCAUAUGUUCCCACCAGGGUAAACAGAGUCAUUAACACUUUAUCUUAAUUGCCACUAAUGAUGGUAAAUUUGCUUGAUUACGUAAAACGGGGCUUUCUGGAAACAUCCUAAGCUGAACUGGAACAUUUAAAAUUUCAGCUAAUUCCAGCUUUGCAGCUGAACCUAAUUGGUCAAUUGUGGGUUAUUAAUGGAGGAUCUGACUUCUCCGAGGAUAGGCUGCUGGGGACAAAUGUGGGCCAGGAGCGAAAGGAAAGGGCCACCACCCAGAUCAGGGCAAGGCUGGCAAGGGAAGAACCAGAGGAUGGAUUUUUCCUUGAUUACUCCAUUCAAUUCUUGCUUCAGCCAUUUUCAUGGGUUUCCUUAGGUAUUCGUGUGGGUUUUUUCCCCCACAUUUCAUAAAGUGUUUUAAAUCCAUCAAAUUGGCACUUUUAUGAAAUUUACUAAAAGAUUCAGAGUUGGUUUUAUCUUCCACCCAUCUCCUCACUGUUUCAUAUACACAUUGAUCGAUUUUAUAUUAAGGUAUCUCUUCCGUUAUUUUUUUUAAACCAGAAUUCCAUUUUGGGUUUUUUGACAACGCCCUGAUUAUAAUGCUUAACUUUUCUCAUUUAAAUUGCUUCCUUUAAAAAAAAAUUCAAUACAUUGCCUUGAGGCCCGUGGUAGUGUCUGAAUGACAAAUGCAUAUGUGUGUCUGUUUUAUUCAACAAUCUAAAAGUUAGUUUGUCAAGAUCUAUGGUUGAAAAUUUUGACUUAAAAAAAUUGCGACCCUCCGGCUCGACUGCUACUUGUGCGGCCACAGUGGAAGGAUGAGACGGUGUCCCGUGCUUUCUCCUGCCCAGUGCGCUCCUCCUCUAGAAUGCUGGGAGCAAGCCUCCCAAAACACACAAAGUCAAGGGCUAAAAGGUAUUACUGUAUAUGCUCUUGCCCAAGUAAAUCUGACCCAUAUGUAGUCACCCUUUCCUUUCUCACUCUUUUUAUAAAUGUUUUUUAUUUAUUUGGAGAGAGAGACAGAGAGAGGAGUGCACAUGUGCUCACAAGCGAAGGAGGGGCAGAGAGAGGAGAGAGAGAGAGAGAAUCCCAAACAGGCUCUGCACUGUGACAUGGGGCUUGAUCUCAUGAACCGUGAGAUUGUGACAUGAGCCGAAAUCAAGGGUUGGAUGUGUAACUGACUGAACCCCCAGGUGCCCUUCCUUCUCAUACUUUAGGACUUUCCAGUUUAUGAAACCCUCUCGAGUUUUUUUCCCAGAUGAUCCUACAACAGCUUUAUGAGGUUGAGGCAGGUCAGUGGUUGGAAAACCCACUUUACAGAUGAGUCCACUGAGGUUCACACUGACUUCCUCCAGCCUCCAUUCACAUAGAUUCAAAUCCAGCUCUUUUGAGUCAGAAUCACCAGCUGCUCUGCCAGCAUGGGAGGCUGUCAGGUUCGAGAAGACCACAAAAGGAAGGAGGCAGUGGAGGGAGGGGCUCAGGUUAUCAGCCCUCCACCCUGAGGUCCAUGGCGUCACUCCCUCAGUCUCUGGCUGUCCUUUAGAAAACGAGGACUGUGAGUUUGUCCACAUGGGACCUGUUACGGACUGACUUACGCACCCCCACCUCCCCCCGCAAGUCGUAGGUGGAAACCCUAACCCCCAUGUGAUUGUAUUUGGAGACAGGGCCCUUAAAGAGGCUGUAUGGGUGAGGCCCAGAUCCAAUAUGGCUGGUGUCCUUAUAAAGAGAGGAAGGGACACCAGGGACUUGAACUCACAGAGAAAAGGCCAUGUGAGGACACAACACGAAGAUAGCUGUCUACCAGCCAAGGAGAGAGGUGUCGGGAGAAACCAACCUGGCCCACACCUUGACCUUGAUCCUCAAGCCUCCAGAACUGUGAGUAAUCAGUUUCUGUUGUUUAAACCACCGUCUGUGGUAUUUUGUCCUGGUGGUCUGAACAGACCAACCCAGGGUCCGCCCGGUCACUUUGUGUCUCUCCCUGCCGACACUCUGGCAGGGCCGGGGGUGGGGGCAGGUUGGGAUGGCUCAAAAUGCUAAAACCUAGUCACCUUAGAGCACUUUGCUGCAACCCCACUGCGGGAACAGGGCUGUCCCUGGGUAUGCAGGACCCUUUGCAAACAUUUUUUUGCUGGGAGAUUCAUGCGCCCACGUGAGACCCAACGGGUCUCAUACUCGUGGUGUUACUGCAAACAUCAAAUUAAAGGACCCGGAACUAUCACUCCUUGGGGAAAUACAGGGGUAGGUUCCUGAGAGCCUCUGGUCACAUUUUUGUGAACCGAUCACCGCAUAACCUUGUUUUAUGUGCUUCUGUUUAAAGACAACUUAUUCAAUACGUAUUGUUGAUUGAUUAACAUUGAGCUCAUGUCCAACGGCACUGCAACUCAUGCCUGAACCCGUGUCCUCUCUGUUAGGCACGUCACGGCCUUCUCAUACUCAGGAACACUAAGAGACUUCAGCACUGUGCUUGUGGUGAGCAGGAUUUUAAACAGCGAAAUCACCAAGAAAAAGCACAAAAAUUCAGGAAAAAAGAAAGCGACACUAGAUGUAAUUGAAAAAGACACUUUUUCGGGGCACCUGGGUGGCUCAGUCGGUUAAGCAUCUGACUUCAGCUCAGGUCAUGAUCUCACGGUUCGUGAGUUCGAGUCCCGCUUUGGGUGAGCUCGAGCCCUGCGUCGGGUGAGCCCCGCUUCUCUCUCUCUGCCCCUUGUUCACUUGUGCCUUCUCUCUCCCUCAAAAAAAAAAAAAAAGACACUUUUUUACAGUACAAGAGCUGAGACCAGAUAGGCUAUUGUCUUAUCCAACCUCAGCUGGUGGGAAUGUGCACACUGGGUGACUUGAGUUUUUUACCACUCUGCACAUUCAUGCAAAUAACUGCAAAAGCACCUUGGGUAUUGGGGGGCACCUGGGUGGCUCAGUCAGUUAAGUGUCCGACUUAGCAUUCCUAGAAUGUAAUCUCUUUCAGUGUUGACCUUGCCUUUCACACACUGCUAGGUUACUGGCUCAGGUCAUGAUCUCACAGUGUGUGAGUUCAAGCCCCACAUCGGGCUCUGCACUAACAGUGUGGAGCCUGCUUGGGAUUCUCUCUCUUUCACUCUCUCUGCCCCUCUCCCAUUCUCUCUCUCUCUUUCUCCCUCACAAUAAAUAAAUAAACUUUAAAAAUAAAGCACCUUGGGUAUUGGUUUUGGGGCUACAAGUAAAUUUAGCGAGGAAGAAAAUUUGCAAAUAUAGAACAUGUAAAUAAUGAGGAUCAACCGUAUAAUGGCUUCUUGAUGAAGAUUUUGAAUGAUAGUAGAAAAGAGGUACUUAUACGUUUGUUUAUCACCUUUUUAAAUUUUUAAAAACAUUUUUGCUUAUUUUUGAGAGAUAGAGUGCAAGCAGGGGCUGGGGAGAGAGAGAGAGAGAGAGAGAGAGAGAGAGAGAGAGAGAGAGAGGCAGAAUCUGAAGCAGGCUCCAGGUUCUGAGCGGUCAGCACAGAGCCUGACGUGGGGCUUGAACUCACGGACAGUGAGAUCAUGACUUGAGUCUGAGACCCUCAACCGACUGAGCCACCCAGGUGCCCUUGUUUGUUUAUCAUCUAAUCAGUGCUGCUGAAGAUUCCCAAUUAGUGUCCGAGCACCGUCUGUGACUGCUGAGAUCUAGGGAUCAUUUCAACAGGGUCUUUACUAACAAACGCUUGGUUCCUGGUUAGUUGCCGAUCUCCCACUUAAAGAAAAAGAAGAAACACUAUCAGUGCUCACAACACUAUGGCUCAUCAGGAUGUGCUUGUAUGGAAACCAUCUAGAACCUCUUGCCUCUUGCAGUUUCCUGAUACCAUUUGUUGAAGGCUGGUUCCAUCAUCACCAGUGUAAUUCUCAUACAGGAAGAUGUAAUUGAUAGCUCAUGUUCCGGUCAUGUUAAAUUUACUGUUCAGAAUUUUGUAACAUAAUCGUAGGAUCUUGAGGUCUGUGUGUCAUUAUCACUGCAUUCCAAGAAUGUAAUCUCUUUCAAUGCCGACCUUGCCUUUCACACACUGCUAGCAGUGGGGAGGAUGGGCAAAGGACCUGUGGCACAAGAAACGUCUGUCUUCAUCUUUCACAGCUUAAUAUCACCUGGGGAGAGCAUACACCCCACAUCAACUGGAGGCAAGAGAGGACAUUGAUUGGAAGGUCCCAUUUGGUUUGUGUAGCAACUGUCUUCAGAAGGCCCAAGAGAAGACAAGAGCAGCCGCCCACAGAGGACAGCUU
Molecule: long non-coding RNA, 24808 nt
Filed under: Lynx pardinus (Iberian lynx)
Lineage: Eukaryota; Metazoa; Chordata; Mammalia; Carnivora; Felidae
Rfam family: tRNA (bases 23158-23242)
Source: RNAcentral